RNAcentral lists this ribosomal RNA (439 nucleotides) under uncultured bacterium. Its description in RNAcentral is "partial 16S ribosomal RNA". It matches the Rfam family "Bacterial small subunit ribosomal RNA", at positions 339 to 795 of the family's 1533-position model. The record is from RNAcentral.
CUACGGGAGGCUGCAGUGAGGAAUAUUGCACAAUGGGGGGAACCCUGAUGCAGCAACGCCGCGUGGAGGAUGACGCAUUUCGGUGUGUAAACUCCUUUUAUAUGUCAAGAAAAUGACGGUAGCAUAUGAAUAAGCACCGGCUAACUCCGUGCCAGCAGCCGCGGUAAUACGGAGGGUGCAAGCGUUAUUCGGAAUCACUGGGCGUAAAGGACGCGUAGGCGGGUUGGAAAGUCAGGUGUGAAAUCCUACAGCUUAACUGUAGAACUGCACUUGAAACUUCUAAUCUAGGGUAUGGGAGGGGGAGAUGGAAUUAGUGGUGUAGGGGUAAAAUCCGUAGAUAUCACUAGGAAUACCUAAAGCGAAGGCGAUCUCCUGGAACAUUACUGACGCUAAGGCGUGAAAGCGUGGGGAGCAAACAGGAUUAGAUACCCUAGUAGUC